GUAAACAAAGCUGGCUGUCCAAUGAGGCGGCGGCGGAGGCGGGCGCGUCACGUGGCGUGGAGGCGGGGUCCGGAGCGGAGGGGUGGGGUGGGUGUUGCAAGCUGUGUUUACAGCUCCGCACAUGCCGCUUCCGGUUGAUUUGCGGGUGGGAGAGUGGCGGGCCGGAAGCGGAAGAGUCAGACGGAGGCUGGGGGCGAGAGCUGGCAUUGUUCCCCCGGCGGAGUGACGCUGGCUGAGUUCUUUGCUCUCCCUGCCCUGGGGCGCUCCUUUGACCUGGCCCGCUGCUGCAGUACCAUCACCUGGGGUGGGGGCGUUACGUCAGAAACCCAUGAACAAACGCAGCAUUCAUAACACCGACACUGUCCUAAGGAAUCUGCUCUGCCUUGGGCCUCAGUUUCCCUAUGUGUAAAAUGAGGAGAAGUCUGUCCUCUGUGGGUGCUGCAAAAUUACGGAUCCAUUGUAAAUGUCUUGACAGAGAUGAUCUGGGUUUUGUCCAAGGCCCAAACAAACUCUGCAUUCCUCUAUGAGCUUGGGGGCCACCCACUUUCCAGGCACCGGAGCUUCCGAAAGUGUCCGAGUGUGGACAGAAAAUGAAGGGACUGAGGUAUUCGGGGUCAACAUCCAGCCUGGCAGCAGAGGUUAGUGUCGUCUGAG
Molecule: long non-coding RNA, 654 nt
Filed under: Cricetulus griseus (Chinese hamster)
Lineage: Eukaryota; Metazoa; Chordata; Mammalia; Rodentia; Cricetidae
Description: lncRNA (ENSCGRG00015031439.1)
Source: RNAcentral